Molecule: ribosomal RNA, 671 nt
Filed under: Bacillus sp. SK70
Lineage: Bacteria; Bacillati; Bacillota; Bacilli; Caryophanales; Bacillaceae
Description: bacterial SSU rRNA
Rfam family: Bacterial small subunit ribosomal RNA
Source: RNAcentral
CGAGCGGACAGAUGGGAGCUUGCUCCCUGAUGUUAGCGGCGGACGGGUGAGUAACACGUGGGUAACCUGCCUGUAAGACUGGGAUAACUCCGGGAAACCGGGGCUAAUACCGGAUGGUUGUCUGAACCGCAUGGUUCAGACAUAAAAGGUGGCUUCGGCUACCACUUACAGAUGGACCCGCGGCGCAUUAGCUAGUUGGUGAGGUAACGGCUCACCAAGGCGACGAUGCGUAGCCGACCUGAGAGGGUGAUCGGCCACACUGGGACUGAGACACGGCCCAGACUCCUACGGGAGGCAGCAGUAGGGAAUCUUCCGCAAUGGACGAAAGUCUGACGGAGCAACGCCGCGUGAGUGAUGAAGGUUUUCGGAUCGUAAAGCUCUGUUGUUAGGGAAGAACAAGUGCCGUUCAAAUAGGGCGGCACCUUGACGGUACCUAACCAGAAAGCCACGGCUAACUACGUGCCAGCAGCCGCGGUAAUACGUAGGUGGCAAGCGUUGUCCGGAAUUAUUGGGCGUAAAGGGCUCGCAGGCGGUUUCUUAAGUCUGAUGUGAAAGCCCCCGGCUCAACCGGGGAGGGUCAUUGGAAACUGGGGAACUUGAGUGCAGAAGAGGAGAGUGGAAUUCCACGUGUAGCGGUGAAAUGCGUAGAGAUGUGGAGGAACACCAGUGGC